UGGUUCUGUAUUCCAGAAAAGUUCUAGAGGGAGCCCCCUUCUAAGUCAUACUUAGGGUGUUUAUAUAGGCUUUGGAUUGGCUUUCAUCCUCCCUAAGUAUCCUUUUCCGUGUAAAAUACAAUUCUUUGAAAAAGGGACACGCCCGUGCGCCACGGCCGUGUGACGUGAUUGCCAGGCUGUGUUCGAUCUGUCAAAUUACACACGACCAUGUGGGUCAAUGGCCAGGCCGUGUGAAUCGUGAAAGCCUUGGUCGACACCCUCGAAAGACACGGGUAUGUGAGCUGCCCAUGUGGCAAGGCUUAGGCCGUGUCAUCUUCUCGAUUUGGUCCGUUUUGUCCAUAUUUUGCUCGUUUUUGGCUCUUUUGCAGAGAUGAAAAAAAGAGGGCGCUUUCCUAUGUUGCACUGAAAAAAUUAAAUAAGGACAAUGGAUAAGAACGUCUUCUCUUAGGUUUCUUCCUCCCGCG
RNAcentral lists this long non-coding RNA (464 nucleotides) under Gossypium barbadense (sea-island cotton). RNAcentral's name for it is "long non-coding RNA (GBAR_LNC007876)". Lineage: Eukaryota; Viridiplantae; Streptophyta; Magnoliopsida; Malvales; Malvaceae. The record is from RNAcentral.